CAAACUGUCGAUUUGCCGGAAA
RNAcentral lists this microRNA (22 nucleotides) under Caenorhabditis elegans. The record is from RNAcentral. Lineage: Eukaryota; Metazoa; Nematoda; Chromadorea; Rhabditida; Rhabditidae.